Molecule: ribosomal RNA, 481 nt
Filed under: marine sediment bacterium ISA-7265
Lineage: Bacteria
Description: bacterial SSU rRNA
Rfam family: Bacterial small subunit ribosomal RNA
Source: RNAcentral
UGCCUAAUCAUGCAAGUCGAGCGAACUGCAUUAGAAGCUUGCUUCUAUGACGUUAGCCGGCGGACGGGUGAGUAACACGUGGGCAACCUGCCUGUAAGACUGGGAUAACUUCGGGAAACCGAAGCUAAUACCGGAUAGGAUCUUCUCCUUCAUGGGAGAUGAUUGAAAGAUGGUUUCGGCUAUCACUUACAGAUGGGCCCGCGGUGCAUUAGCUAGUUGGUGAGGUAACGGCUCACCAAGGCAACGAUGCAUAGCCGACCUGAGAGGGUGAUCGGCCACACUGGGACUGAGACACGGCCCAGACUCCUACGGGAGGCAGCAGUAGGGAAUCUUCCGCAAUGGACGAAAGUCUGACGGAGCAACGCCGCGUGAGUGAUGAAGGCUUUCGGGUCGUAAAACUCUGUUGUUAGGGAAGAACAAGUACGAGAGUAACUGCUCGUACCUUGACGGUACCUAACCAGAAAGCCACGGCUAACUACGU